Molecule: long non-coding RNA, 1097 nt
Organism: Portunus trituberculatus (swimming crab)
Lineage: Eukaryota; Metazoa; Arthropoda; Malacostraca; Decapoda; Portunidae
Exons: 3
Source: RefSeq, a predicted model, not a curated record
UCAAGUGUUUUUAGGGGUUUUAAGGUUGUUUUUAGGCUUUAAAUGGAUAAUACACCCUUACAAGUGAGUGUCAGCCGUGUGUCCCUCGUGAGUGUAUCAGAGACGUCAUCAUAUAUCAUUGAAGACACACUAACCUGAUAAAAGAAAUGCAUAAAAAAGCACAGAUAAAAAAGAAAAGAGUUUAUCCUCUAGUUUAACAAAAAUAGUUUAGCAUUAUCAUCAUUCAGGCUUAUACAAGGUUAGAGUUUUCUUAAUGUUACGUAAAUAUGUCGAUCAUUAUUCAGAUUACCAGUCAUUGUUGAGUACUUAAACCCUUCAGUACCAGAACGCGUUUUCAUAUUCAUUCUGCUUACUAUAUGGCGAUUUUACACAGCUUCAGAAACUUAGGUUGGGAUUGAAAUAAUGAAGACACUGGCCAUUAAUCUUCUGACCUCCAUAGACCCUUCCUAAUGUAAAUAAAAAUCGUCUAAUCAUACCAAGAAUUCAAGAUAAAAGUGCGUUUCAGUGCUGAAGAAAUUAAUGACACAGAGUUCGAGGAUCCGAAACCAAUCUCAAGUUUCAGUAACGCGACACUUACACCCAGCAUGCAAUAUCACUGGUGUGUAUUUGACGUAUUGGUAUAUCCACAAUUCAAUUUUCAUUUAUAGUUCCUAAAAUAAUAAGAAGUGGCCGCAAGUUAGGAGCUGGGUAUGUACAUAAUACGUUAACUAAGCUUCACGAUCCCAGCCGGCGACCCUCCCCACCCCCGCAGCCGCCCUGCCAGCCACAGCCAGUCACCGGUGAGGCAGCGAAAGAGAGGAGUGUGAACGGCGUGGUGGUGGGACGAGAGGACAAGGAGGCGAUCAUGUACCUGGCGGACCAAGCAAGGCUGCAGUGGAGACCAGACUGCAGGUGAUCGUGUUCGUCAAUUAACAUGAAAGUGGUCAGAUCGUGUUAUCAAGAUGCAGCCAAAGACUUGAUUUAUCUUCCAGCCAUUUCCACUUUUGGAAGAUGCCAACACCAUUACCACCACCUUCGAACUUACUCCACAGGAGUGACAGGACACAGUUACUGAGUUUUGGUUAUAUGCGUGUAAGUAAGUAUAAGGUACUUCUGGG